RNAcentral lists this ribosomal RNA (552 nucleotides) under uncultured bacterium. Its description in RNAcentral is "partial 16S ribosomal RNA". It matches the Rfam family "Bacterial small subunit ribosomal RNA", at positions 355 to 899 of the family's 1533-position model. The record is from RNAcentral.
UGGGGAAUUUUGGACAAUGGGCGAAAGCCUGAUCCAGCAAUGCCGCGUGUGUGAAGAAGGCCUUCGGGUUGUAAAGCACUUUUGUCCGGAAAGAAAUCCUUGGCUCUAAUACAGUCGGGGGAUGACGGUACCGGAAGAAUAAGCACCGGCUAACUACGUGCCAGCAGCCGCGGUAAUACGUAGGGUGCAAGCGUUAAUCGGAAUUACUGGGCGUAAAGCGUGCGCAGGCGGUUUGCUAAGACCGAUGUGAAAUCCCCGGGCUCAACCUGGGAACUGCAUUGGUGACUGGCAGGCUAGAGUAUGGCAGAGGGGGGUAGAAUUCCACGUGUAGCAGUGAAAUGCGUAGAGAUGUGGAGGAAUACCGAUGGCGAAGGCAGCCCCCUGGGCCAAUACUGACGCUCAUGCACGAAAGCGUGGGGAGCAAACAGGAUUAGAUACCCUGGUAGUCCACGCCCUAAACGAUGUCAACUAGUUGUUGGGGAUUCAUUUCCUUAGUAACGUAGCUAACGCGUGAAGUUGACCGCCUGGGGGAGUACGGUCGCAAGAUUAAAA